Molecule: non-coding RNA, 192 nt
Filed under: Paenibacillus alvei
Lineage: Bacteria; Bacillati; Bacillota; Bacilli; Caryophanales; Paenibacillaceae
Source: RNAcentral
AUUGAAUAUGAGGAAACAGGUGCUUCGGGUAACGUCGAAGCUUAAUAGGGAAGCCGGUUGGAAAUCCGGCGCGGUCCCGCCACUGUGACAGUUGAGGUAUUGCGAGAGAGCCACUGGUCGUAAUCGAUCGGGAAGGCUGCAAAGGCCAAUGAAGCUGAAGCCAGGAGACCUGCCUGUUUUGACAACACUGUU